RNAcentral lists this small nuclear RNA (120 nucleotides) under Fibroporia radiculosa. RNAcentral's name for it is "U5 spliceosomal RNA". It matches the Rfam family "U5 spliceosomal RNA". From Rfam's summary of the family: U5 RNA is a component of both types of known spliceosome. The record is from Rfam by way of RNAcentral. Lineage: Eukaryota; Fungi; Basidiomycota; Agaricomycetes; Polyporales; Fibroporiaceae.
GCCGGCUGGGGUUAGUACAAGCAGACAAUCCCCUCGCCUUUUACUAGGGGAUUCCGUGUACUGGCCCUGUCUCAAAGCCGGAUUGGGAAUUUUUCAGCGAUUAGCUUCGUCAGGAAGCUC